CCUACGGGAGACAGCAGUCGAGAAUCAUUCACAAUGGGGGAAACCCUGAUGGUGCGACGCCGCGUGGGGGAAUGAAGGUCUUCGGAUUGUAAACCCCUGUCAUGUGGGAGCAAAUUAAAAAGAUAGUACCACAAGAGGAAGAGACGGCUAACUCUGUGCCAGCAGCCGCGGUAAUACAGAGGUCUCAAGCGUUGUUCGGAAUCACUGGGCGUAAAGCGUGCGUAGGCUGUUUCGUAAGUCGUGUGUGAAAGGCGCGGACUCAACCCGCGGACGGCACAUGAUACUGCGAGACUAGAGUAAUGGAGGGGGAACCGGAAGUCUCGGUGUAGCAGUGAAAUGCGUAGAUAUCGAGAGGAACACUCGUGGCGAAGGCGGGUUCCUGGACAUUAACUGACGCUGAGGCACGAAGGCCAGGGGAGCGAAAGGGAUUAGAUACCCCUGUAGUC
RNAcentral lists this ribosomal RNA (446 nucleotides) under uncultured bacterium. RNAcentral's name for it is "partial 16S ribosomal RNA". It matches the Rfam family "Bacterial small subunit ribosomal RNA", at positions 338 to 795 of the family's 1533-position model. The record is from RNAcentral.